Molecule: long non-coding RNA, 221 nt
Filed under: Eucalyptus grandis
Lineage: Eukaryota; Viridiplantae; Streptophyta; Magnoliopsida; Myrtales; Myrtaceae
Description: long non-coding RNA (EGRA_LNC007540)
Source: RNAcentral
UUAAGUGAUAAAGUAUAAGGAAGAUUUAUAAGGUAUAACAUGCAAGAUGCGACACCUAAUCAGCACGUUCCCAGUACCUUUAAAUGAGAAAAUUUCCUAACGUGGAGAGCAUAAACAAGGCUUACUAUUUAGUGAUGUGCAUCGACAUUCUUCAUUUCCAUAAAUGGGCCAAGCAAGCAUUUUAUAAGGAGAGUCUCUUUCUCAUUCUAAUUACAUGUGAA